GACACCACUCGCCCCUCCUCCUCCUCCUCCUCCUCCUCCUCUACCAAAGAGAAGAAGAGGCUGGGGGGGGGUUUGGGGGCGGACUCUGCGUGUUCCGGACGCGAGCUCCGAGUGCACCGAACCUCGUGAACGAGACCCCUCUGCUAGUACACUGCCCGUUACUGGCCCGAAGAGUUGUUGACGGCGUGUCUCUCUUUUUUGAGCGGCGCGACUCUCUACUCACCCUAAAAGCCGGUUUCCGUAAGCGCCGUGGAGGAGGGUAUUAUACUUUGAUGUAUAUAUAUAUGUCUUGGUCCGGUCUGGCCUUUUUCUGAUGAUGAAUGAUUGUUUGCUCGUUUAUUCGACAAACAAACAACAAUCAAUCAGAAAUACCACCAACCAACCAACUUUCG
RNAcentral lists this unclassified non-coding RNA (392 nucleotides) under Papenfussiella lutea. Its description in RNAcentral is "partial ITS2". The record is from RNAcentral. Lineage: Eukaryota; Phaeophyceae; Ectocarpales; Chordariaceae.